GGGUGAGUAACACGUGGGCGACCUGCCUUCGAGUGGGGAAUAACGCUGGGAAACCAGCGCUAAUACCGCAUACGCUCCGGCUUUCAUUGGCCGGAGGAAAGCUUAAUGUGCUCGAAGAGGGGCCUGCGGCGGAUUAGCUAGUCGGGGGGGUAAUGGCCCACCGAGGCGACGAUCCGUAGCUGGUCUGAGAGGAUGGCCAGCCACACUGGGACUGAGACACGGCCCAGACUCCUACGGGAGGCAGCAGUAAGGGAUCUUCCACAAUGGGCGCAAGCCUGAUGGAGCGACGCCGCGUGGAUGACGAAGCUCUUCGGAGUGUAAAAUCCUUUUGCGGGGGGUGAGAGGGACAGUACCCCGCGAAGAAGCCACGGCUAACUACGUGCCAGCAGCCGCGGUAAUACGUAGGUGGCAAGCGUUGUCCGGAAUUACUGGGUGUAAAGCGCGUGUAGGCGGCAGGCCAAGUCUGCGGUGAAAGCGCCCGGCUCAACUGGGCGAGGUCCGUG
This 503-nucleotide ribosomal RNA is filed under the name uncultured bacterium. RNAcentral's name for it is "bacterial SSU rRNA". It matches the Rfam family "Bacterial small subunit ribosomal RNA", at positions 104 to 628 of the family's 1533-position model. The record is from RNAcentral.